Molecule: ribosomal RNA, 301 nt
Filed under: uncultured bacterium
Lineage: Bacteria
Description: partial 16S ribosomal RNA
Rfam family: Bacterial small subunit ribosomal RNA
Source: RNAcentral
CGCCGCCGCGGUAAAACGGAGGGGGCUAGCGUUGUUCGGAAUUACUGGGCGUAAAGCGCACGUAGGCGGCUUGGUAAGUUAGAGGUGAAAGCCCAGGGCUCAACCCUGGAAUUGCCUUUAAGACUGCCGAGCUAGUAGGUGAGAGAGGUGAGUGGAAUUCCGAGUGUAGAGGUGAAAUUCGUAGAUAUUCGGAAGAACACCAGUGGCGAAGGCGGCUCACUGGCUCAUUCUAGACGCUGAGGUGCGAAAGCGUGGGGAGCAAACAGGAUUAGAUACCCGCGUAGUCCCUGUCUCUUAUACA